AGUGAACGCUGGCGGUAGGCCUAACACAUGCAAGUCGAACGGCAGCACAGUAAGAGCUUGCUCUUACGGGUGGCGAGUGGCGGACGGGUGAGGAAUACAUCGGAAUCUACUUUUUCGUGGGGGAUAACGUAGGGAAACUUACGCUACUACCUCAUACGAUCUACGGGUGAAAGCAGAGGAUAUUCGGACCUUGCGCGAUUGUAUGAGCCGAUGUCGGAUUAGCUAGUUGGCGGGGUAAGGGCCCACCAAGGCGACGAUACGUAGCAGGUCUGAGAGGAUGAUCGGCCACACUGGAACUGAGACACGGUCCAGACUCCUACGGGAGGCAGCAGUGGGGAAUAUUGGACAAUGGGCGCAAGCCUGAUCCAGCCAUACCGCGUGGGUGAAGAAGGCCUUCGGGUUGUAAAGCCCUUUUGUUGGGAAAGAAAAGAAGCAGGUUAAUACCCCGCUGUUCUGACGGUACCCAAAGAAUAAGCACCGGCUAACUUCGUG
RNAcentral lists this ribosomal RNA (492 nucleotides) under uncultured bacterium. RNAcentral describes it as "partial 16S ribosomal RNA". It matches the Rfam family "Bacterial small subunit ribosomal RNA", at positions 29 to 507 of the family's 1533-position model. The record is from RNAcentral.